This is a long non-coding RNA of Talpa occidentalis (Iberian mole), 2107 nucleotides long. RefSeq lists it as uncharacterized. NCBI's taxonomy places the organism in Eukaryota, Metazoa, Chordata, Mammalia, Eulipotyphla, Talpidae. The record is from RefSeq and is a predicted model, not a curated record. The transcript has 8 exons.
GGCCCUGGAGCGGGCGCCAGGUCCUGCCUCAAACCCCAGAGGUUUUCCCUCUCAGCCCCGCUGGCGCCUGCAGCUCUGUCCCCCGCUAGCUCCGCGGGCGCCGUACCCCGGGAGGCCCAGCCCGCUCCGGAAAACCGGCCUCCACCGUCACUGCUGUGUGGAAAUGGCCUGCAGAGCCCGCGCUGGUGCGUCCUGCCAAAAAUGUCCAGACUUUGCACUGGAAAGCCUCUCGGGUCAGCUGUGCGCAGGCCAAAGUUCAGUGCUCCAGGCGAGAGAACAGGAGUCCAGUCACCUCAGGAGAACGGAGGGUUCGAGGGCUUUACUCACUUUGACCGGAGAUAUCUGGGCACGGGCUGGGCUGAACGGUCUUAAACCCCUUCAGCGCUUAGGUAAUCUGCCUUCAGCCCUCUGAGCCUUCGCUGGGUGCCUGCUUUCUCUUCUGGGCCCAGGAGCUAAAAGUAGCAUUUGCUCUCUAAAUUUAGGACCCUAUCUUUAGUUCCGUUGAAUCAAGUCCUGAGACGGUUUUAGCUGACCUAGGUGUAAUGGAUAAGCCUUCUCUGGCCUUUCUUGCCAGCCUAAGGACCGUUCUCACCCAAUUGGGCCUUCGAAGUCAAGUCCUCAGUGAAGCAACGCAGAAGGGAGCACAUAGCAUCUUCCUCAGCAGAUCAGCCAAGAGAACGCAACAGGCAUCCCCUUUGGAAUAGAGCAAAGAAAUAAAAUGAGAGGAGGCCUCUGAAAGCAAGAUGAUAUAUGUUAUUAAGCCAAUUUUCAAAAAGACAUCACAAUCAGCAGCACCACAAUCUACCUGUUCACCUUAGGUAGAAACCUGAAUCAUCAUAGCGAUCUCCUCUGUGACAUUGAUGUUUAUGCUGUGACCUAAAGGCUAAGAAGGAACUAGUGCAUUGAGGAACUUGGGGAAAACAUUCCAAUGGAAGGAAACAGCUUUUUUGCAUCCCUGGGCUGGGAAAGAGAAUGAGACCUUCCCUGCCCAAAUGGACAGCUGAUUUAUACUGGUAAACCUGGGAUAUCAGAAGACAAGGGGAUGGUGACAGUAGCCAUGGUAGAUGGAGCUGUGACAUGUUCAGCAUUAGGCUGUCAAAAUUGGAGUAAGAGGAAAAAGAAGGAAAAAAAGUAAAGCAAACUUACUUUCACAUUCCAAGUCACCACAUUUUUUAAAGUCGGCCAGCAGUUUUGUGCCUUCCAGACACUUCAUCAGCGAAACAACCAAAAGGAGGAUCCUGUGAAUCCCAAGCAAUGCCAUGCUAAAGCAAGCAGGAAACCCAAACAAGAUGUAGUAUUGUGUUAAUAUGAAAAUAUAAUACUGCUGCCGAAAAAGAAUUCAUGAUAACAGGAAGACAGCAUUUUUCAGAAACAACUCAGGAGAUCAACUUCGAUGACACUGACAUCUUUAUAAUACUAAUAAGGGGCUGAUCACAAAGAUCUACAGAGAGCUGACGAAACUCAACAAAGUAUACAACCCAUCAAAAAAUGGGCAGAAGAGCGACAGACACUUCUCCAAAGAGGAAAUGCAAAUGGUCAACAGACAUAUGAAAAAAUGUUCAACAUCACUUGUAAUCAGGGAAAUGCAAAUCAAAACCACAAUGAGAUACCAUCUUUACAUACUAGUGAAAAUGGCACAUAUCAAAAAAACUAACACCAACAAAUGUUAGUGAGGAUGUGGAGAAAAAGGAACUCUUCCUACAUUGCUGGUGGAAUGCAAACUGGUCCAACCACUAUGGAAAGCUGUGUGGAGGUUCCUCAAACUACUAAAAAUGGAGCGUCCAUAUGAUCCAGCAAUUCUACUCCUUGGUACUUACCCAAAGGACACAAAAACAUUAAUUCAAAAGGACACCUGCACUCUUCUGUUUAUUGCAGCACUAUUUACAGUAAGCUAUGGAAACAACCCAAAAAAAGAUGACUGGACCAAGAUGUAGUAUAUACACACAAUGCAAUAUUACUCAGCAAUCAAAAAGGAUAAACUCAUGCCAUAUGCAGCAACAUGGAUGGAGCUCUAAGGGAUUAUGCUCAGCGAAAUAAGCCAGAAAGAAAAAGAAAACUAUCGGAUGGUUUCACUUAUAGGAGGAAUGUAGAGGAACCAAAUAAGGGA